AAGAAAAAAGAAAAAAAAAGAGGCCGGGCGCAGUGGCUCAUUCCUGUAAUCCCAGCACUUUGGGAGGCUGAGGCGGGCGGAUCACGAGCAGCCUUCCCUGCACCCACCAUUGCGGCUAUGGAUGGGUUUGCCUUGGGCGGAGGCCUAGAGCUUGCCCUGGCCUGUGACCUCCGAGUGGCAGCUUCCUCGGCCGUCAUGGGACUGAUUGAGACCACGCGAGGGCUCCUCCCGGGGGCAGGAGGGACUCAGAGGCUGCCCCGUUGUCUGGGGGUGGCCCUGGCGAAGGAGCUCAUCUUCACGGGCCGACGACUGAGUGGAACUGAGGCCCAUGUACUGGGGCUGGUGAAUCACGCUGUGGCCCAGAACGAGGAGGGGGACGCCGCCUACCAGCGGGCACGAGCACUGGCCCAGGAGAUCCUGCCCCAGGCCCCCAUUGCCGUGCGGCUGGGCAAAGUAGCCAUUGACCGAGGAAUG
RNAcentral lists this small RNA (474 nucleotides) under Pan troglodytes (chimpanzee). RNAcentral's name for it is "processed transcript". Lineage: Eukaryota; Metazoa; Chordata; Mammalia; Primates; Hominidae. The record is from RNAcentral.